CACGUAGGGUGCGAGCGUUGUCCGGAAUUAUUGGGCGUAAAGAGCUCGUAGGCGGUGUGUCGCGUCGGCCGUGAAAACCUGCAGCUCAACUGCAGGCUUGCGGUCGAUACGGGCAGGCUAGAGUUCGGUAGGGGAGACUGGAAUUCCUGGUGUAGCGGUGAAAUGCGCAGAGAUCAUGAGGAAGACCAGUGGCGAAGGCGGGUCUCUGGACAGUUCCUGACACUGAGACACGAAGGCCAGGGGAGCAAACGGG
RNAcentral lists this ribosomal RNA (253 nucleotides) under uncultured bacterium. Its description in RNAcentral is "partial 16S ribosomal RNA". It matches the Rfam family "Bacterial small subunit ribosomal RNA", at positions 524 to 776 of the family's 1533-position model. The record is from RNAcentral.